RNAcentral lists this ribosomal RNA (500 nucleotides) under uncultured bacterium. RNAcentral describes it as "partial 16S ribosomal RNA". It matches the Rfam family "Bacterial small subunit ribosomal RNA", at positions 30 to 523 of the family's 1533-position model. The record is from RNAcentral.
AUUGAACGCUGGCGGAAUGCUUUACACAUGCAAGUCGAACGGCAGCACGGACUUCGGUCUGGUGGCGAGUGGCGAACGGGUGAGUAAUAUAUCGGAACGUGCCCAGUCGUGGGGGAUAACGUAGUGAAAAUUACGCUAAUACCGCAUACGAUCUAUGGAUGAAAGCGGGGGACCUUUGGGCCUCGCGCGAUUGGAGCGGCCGAUAUCAGAUUAGGUAGUUGGUGGGGUAAAGGCCCACCAAGCCAACGAUCUGUAGCUGGUCUGAGAGGACGACCAGCCACACUGGGACUGAGACACGGCCCAGACUCCUACGGGAGGCAGCAGUGGGGAAUUUUGGACUAUGGACGCAAGUCUGAUCCAGCCAUUCCGCGUGCAGGACGAAGGCCUUCGGGUUGUAAACUGCUUUUGUACAGAACGAAAAGGUUUCUACUAAUACUAGGAGCUCAUGACAGUACUGUAAGAAUAAGCACCGGCUAACUACGUGCCAGCAGCCGCCGUAA